RNAcentral lists this ribosomal RNA (277 nucleotides) under uncultured bacterium. RNAcentral's name for it is "partial 16S ribosomal RNA". It matches the Rfam family "Bacterial small subunit ribosomal RNA", at positions 524 to 789 of the family's 1533-position model. The record is from RNAcentral.
UACGAAGGGGCUAGCGUUGCUCGGAAUCACUGGGCGUAAAGCGCACGUAGGCGGAUUGUUAAGUCGGGGGUGAAAUCCUGGAGCUCAACUCCAGAACUGCCUUCGAUACUGGCGAUCUCGAGUUCGGGAGAGGUGAGUGGAACUGCGAGUGUAGAGGUGAAAUUCGUAGAUAUUCGCAAGAACACCAGUGGCGAAGGCGGACUCGCUGGGCCACACCGUGACGCUGAGACGCGAAAAGCUAGGGGAGCGAACGAGGAACUUGAUAAAGAACCCCCUG